This 213-nucleotide long non-coding RNA is filed under the name Elaeis guineensis (African oil palm). RNAcentral describes it as "long non-coding RNA (EGUI_LNC015389)". Lineage: Eukaryota; Viridiplantae; Streptophyta; Magnoliopsida; Arecales; Arecaceae. The record is from RNAcentral.
CAAGGGUGUGACAAUCGAAUAGAGUUUUGGUAGUAUCUCAUGCUAUGGUUUACAAGAUACUAUUAAACCCUAGCCAUUUACUACAACCUACCAUAGCUCUAUUAAAGCCCUCAAUUUAUUACAAUUUAGUUUGAAUAUUAUACUCAAAUUAUUCAACAAUCAAUACAAGUUCAAGUUAAAGUCAAGUCUCAAUCAUCUAACAUAGUUGUAGAG